Molecule: non-coding RNA, 23 nt
Filed under: Arabidopsis thaliana (thale cress)
Lineage: Eukaryota; Viridiplantae; Streptophyta; Magnoliopsida; Brassicales; Brassicaceae
Source: RNAcentral
GUUCUACCUGAUCUUGUUGGGCA